UAUAUGGGUAGGGACGGCCCUGCCUGCAGGGGAAGGAGUGGAGGAUAGGCAUUGUAAAGUGACAACUUAAUUUCCUUAAUUUUGUUUAUUUGCAUGUAGCCACCUCAGAUGUUACACUACAAACUUCGUGUGUAUUAAUUUGUAGGUAAGGGGCUACAUCUUGUAUGAUAACUAACCAUUAUCACUUAUUACCAAAAAGAUAUGGCCAUCCUGGUGAGCAUUUUUCCAGUUCUCCUUUGGACAAUGAUGGCAUUUCAGGCAGACUUAUUGCAAGCUAAAGGAAUUCAGGUUCUCUCACCUGUUAACUUCACUCUCACAGUCUCUGCACUAGCAGAAGUACUUUUGCAAUGGAAACCAAACCCUGAUCAAGAAGAAAAGAACUACACUGUUAGAUAUGAUGUGGAAAUUAUGACUCCUGAGUGGGAAGUGUAUGAUACGAAGAAAACUUGCAGUACCCGUAUGGCUGUGCUUCAUAAUGGUUUUUCUGCACGUAUUCGGACAUUGCUUCUCUAUAACAACUCGCAAAUAAAAAGUAACUGGGCUACAGCUAAACUCCAAGCCCCACCAGGUGCUGUUGAGACAUCAGUCACUAACUUGUCCUGUGUGAUUUACACUGCCAUUAAUAAUACUGCAUCUCUUCACUGCACCUGGUUUGCUGGCAAAGCGGCGCCAGAAGAUACAAAAUACUUUCUAUUUUACAGGUAUAACAACUACACUGAAGAAUGCCAAGAAUAUAGUAAAGACAAAUGGGAGAGAAAUAUUGGUUGCCGAUUUUCAAACACUUACAUAAAGACUAGUGAAACUGACAAACGCAUCGUAAUACACAUUAAUGGGUCAAGCAAUGGCACUGCAAUCAAACCUUUUGAACAGAUAUUUAAUCAAAAUGCCAUUCAGAAAGUGAAUCCUCCUAGAAAUGUCACCGUGUCUUUAAAACAAAACAACCUUCUGGUCAAGUGGGAAAUGCCAGCUUCUUCUUUCCUAAAGGAAUGUUUUAAAUAUGAACUUAACAUCUACAACUGGAAGAUGGGUUACAAACAGAUAUUGGAAACCGAGUUAAAUAGUUUCAGUUUAAGGAUUGAUGACACCUGCAGAUACUCCAUACAGAUUAGAGCUAAUCAUCAAUCAUGGUGUAGGGAAGGAUUUUGGAGUGAUUGGACCGAACCUCUUUAUAUUGGAAAAAACCAGCCAAGGACUCCUGUAGACUCCAAGACCUACGCGGUUCUCAUUGCGCUUAUAGUAUCCAUAUGUUCCAUGGCAUUGCUUAUUGCUAUAAUAUGCAGAAAGUAUCAUGUAUGGAGCAGACUAUUUCCACCAAUUCCAACACCCCAAAACAGUUUAAAAAAUCUGUUUUUAACUAAAAGCUAUCAGAUCUCAAUGCAUUUUACCAAGGAGGGAAAGUAUCGUCACUUUACAAAAGGGUGAAAAUCUGGUCCCACUGAAGUUAUGGCAAAAUCCCCACUGAAGUCAGUGAGACCAGGAUUGUACAGGACUUGUCCAAGGUUACGGCAGGCCAGUGGCCAAGCCAGGAAUAGAACCCCAAGUCUUUUGUAUGUUGGUACGGUGCACCACACUGCUCCUCUCGGAGCCUUAUUAGCUCUGCAGUGCUAACAGGACAGAGUUAAAAAAGAGAGCACGUACCUAUACCAGUGAAACGGAAACAGAAGUCGGAAGUUGCUUUGAAGAUCUUGGAAGUUAUAUUGAAGACCUUUAUUCCGAUGUCCUCGAAGAUUCAUAAUCUGAAAUAUUACUCCAUUCAUGAUCUUGAAAUUAACAGGAGUGUUACUGCACGUGACAACAGCUUAGUUGGAUAAACCUUCAGGUCAUACCAUCAUCAGUGCUUCAAAGACAGAAAAAUGUGUUGCUUCCAAGAGGUUAAAUUGCUUAAUUACAAACUAACACAUAUGAAUGUCACUUUUUAAGAAAAAAGUGAGUACAUUCUGUGAUGCUCUGUGCCUCGGGUGGACACCCUACACCCACAUGUUCAUCUUUAUAAAACAAUUGUGUGGUAUCCAGUGCAAAGUUUGUCAUGUUGGGUAUCUUCAGAAGCCUCCUAAUGCACUGAAGAUGGUUGUUAUAGUGAUGUUAUAGGUUAUAAUUUUAUGUAUAUAGUUAUGAGGCUGAAAAUGUAUCCUUAUGGCUUAAAGCAAGCCCGCGUAAAAUCUCUCCAAGAACAGGGAGGCAGUUCACACCGCAUCAGGGCAUGGAUGGGACAGCCCAGCCUCACAGGAAUAAUGGACACUGGCUCAAGCAGCAACAAAAGAAUCUGUUAGACCCUUGAGGGAGUCAACCCCUUCUUUGGGCAGUUUGGGACUGCAAUGAGAUAAUGAUCACCUGACUCUGAAGGGGGGAUGGGCAGGCAAAGCCAAGAGGAAAGAAAGGACACGAUAAAAGGGAGAGAUUUUGUGCCACGUUUUCUCUCUUCCACCUACAUCUACAGACACCAACAUCACCAACCGACUGAAACGCUGAUCAAAGGGGAGAGCCUGACUGAAAAGCCAGCCUGUGGUGAGAAGCAUCUAAGUUUUUAAGGACACUGAAAGUGUUAAGAUCAGCUUAGAAUGUGUUGCUUUUAUUUCAUUUGACCAAAUCUGACUUGUUAUGCUUUGACUUAUAAUCACUUAAAUCUAACUUUAUAGUUAAUAAAUCUGUUUGUUUAUUCUACCUGAAGCAGUGCAUUUGGUUUGCAGUGUGUCAGAGACUCUCCUUGGCCAAAUGGAACUACUCCUGUAAGAGUGGGCUGAAGAACUCGUCUCUAUUGCUGCUUUUGUUCUCCGAUAACUGGCAUAUUUUUGUUCCUAGGACCAUAUGUUCUGAGGAAGGGGUUAGGGAGCUAUCACACUGAUACAAAUCACAUUUGAGACUUUGCUCUUUAUGAGCUCAGGUGGGACAGGAGCAGAAAGACUCAACAAUCAAAAUACAGUGAAAGAACUUUUUCAAGAGGUGAUGGCUCGAUCUGUGUUUUGUUAUGCAAGUCCCUUGCCCUCCACUCCCUUUUUAGAAACUCACCUUUUCCCAGACAAACAACCCCCCACAUGGAACUAAAUGAUGAUACAUCCUUUGUUGCCGUAGCUGUUCCAAUAUCUGGUACUAUGAACUCCUCCCUCCAGCCUUCCCUUUUUUAAUAUUAAUUCCCUUAGCAUCCUAUGUUUGUUGAACUCAUCUUCAGUUGUAAGCUUCUAAGUUUGCAAGACCUGUGUCUUAAUAUCUGUAAAGUGUAAUUGAUAUCAGUGGAAGUAUAAACAAAUACUAACAAGUUAUGGAUAAGGGAGCAUCCGAACUACCUAAUUAGGCAAACUACCCAGAGAUUUAAUUUAAAAUGUGGAUUUUCUUCCUUUGGGGGGGGGGAUUAGAACUGCUUUAAUGGUGUGUGAGAUUUGAUGUGCAGAACUCUGUUUCAUAGUAUUUAACCAGAGGUCAAACAUGAGGGCCUGAUUCUCCAUUACCUUGUGCAGUUAGUUACAGUACUGCAAAAUGGCUGUAAAACUUUGUAUUUGCAUUCUUUUUGCACUGCUGUAAUUGAUUAAACAGGUGCAGAAUAAUGGCAGCUCAGGCUGAGACUGAACAAGGUGCAGGAUAUGGCAGCUCAGGCUCAUCUGGUCUUCUUAAAUUACAAUUGCAAGAGUUUGUAAACUGGGAGGUCACGAGAGACUGAUUUUGAAGAGGUUAGUUACCUUCUGUGGCAUCCAAAAUAGGCUGCUUACUUUGCAUAUGCAAUUGAUAACUGCACGUGCAAAUUAGCUUUUUGCAUGCACAACUAGUCAGACUUAUAAGCGAUCAUUAGCAUUCAGAUAAUUCAUUGCUUCUGCAAUCAAUGCGACCUCGGAUGUUAUGCAUCAGGAUUAUAGCUUUGUGCUCUGCAAUGCUAUCAGUGUGCCAAAUUCAAACACUGAGUGAAUUCAAGCAUUUAGGGCAACAUCUAUAAAGUUCAACAGAAAACUAACAAAAGUCACACAUUCACACGUAAACAGGAAGCCAACAAAUUCUUGGUAGCCUUUCAAACAUUAUGAAAUGAUUAGUCUAUCAGCAUCAAGCCCAUCUGUACUACGUGCCGUCUACAGACAGGGCCGAGCGCAUUGUCAGCACUUAAAUCGUCAGAAUUACUUUGAAAAUCCUGCUUGUGAAAAUAUGGGAGUUGCAUAGAAAUUCCAGCGCAGAGAAAUAUUAUUGCUCUUGGCUGGGAUUUCUGAACAAGCCAAAAGGAGUUAGGCCCCCAACUCCCCAUUAAUUUCAGCUCCCUUAGGAUCCUUGAGAAUUCCAGCCUUAAUCAAUUGGAUGUUCUGGUAUUGCCUACAUUGUACACUACACAUUUCAGCUCUCAGUUGCACCAGUCCAACCCCAAUGAAGCAGAGUUUAAACCAGUGUUUCUUCUUUUAGUUUACUCUUGUUGCCUCCCUUGCAAUCUGUAUGCUUGCCUUGUGUAAUCCACAGCGCACACUGUAAAAUAAACCUGCAUCUCAGAACCAUGCAGGCAAUUUUGUCUUGAAAGGGAACUUGUUUUGCUGAUGCUCAUGAGAUGCGGUGACUUGUGCAGAGUUUCUCCUAAUAUUGUCAGGAAGUUAGUGCCACGACUGUCUAGUCCUGUUGUUAAAAGGUGCCUGGUAAGGCAACUCCCAUAUUUUCAUAUGCUGUGUAUUUAUACCUCUCUACUGUAUUUUCCUCUCCAUGCAUCUGAUGAAGUGGAUUGUAGCCCACAAAAGCUUAUGCCCAAAUAAAUUUGUUAGUCUCUAAGGUGCCACAAGGAUUCCUCAUUUUUUUUACUUUAAUUAGCCAGUUCCCAAACUGGUGUAAAUUGGUAUGACUCCUUUGAAUUUUUGUGCCUAAAAAUCUCCCUUCGGGUGAUUUUAGUGGAUCUGAGGAGCCAAGAUAUAACAGCUUAAAAGCAGAGUGUAUUAGAUCAACAGAAGCUUAAAAUGGAAACAGAGGAGAAUACAUUUGCUAUUGACGUAUUUUAUUUGUUUUAUGCCAUCAACUAUCCUAAUAUAUAAGAAUGCUAAAUCUAGUUCUCUCUCAUUUAUUAAGCCCUUUCUAACAGCAGGCUACAGCAGGGAUUAUGCACUAUAUUUAAAUAAUUUUUGCAUUGUAUUACUAUAGGUUCAGUGAUUAGAAACUGUCUGGAAUGCUCAGAAUUUACCAGCCAAGCUAAUGAUGUAGCCACAAAUUGUGAUCAAACAUAAAAGACAGGUAUAUUUGGCUGGCGUACUUGGACAAA
This is an RNA transcript of Dermochelys coriacea (leatherback sea turtle), 5209 nucleotides long. It is a transcript of the gene named interleukin 5 receptor subunit alpha, with no coding region annotated. The transcript has 11 exons. The record is from RefSeq and is a predicted model, not a curated record. Lineage: Eukaryota; Metazoa; Chordata; Testudines; Dermochelyidae.